AACCUCUGCAAUGCACGAAAGUGUGACAGGGGGAUUCCACGUGCAAGCUAUGCUUGCUUUUCUCAAGUCCAAAACGCUUGGGGAAUAAGGGCUGGGCAAGACCCGUGCCAGCCGCCGCGGUAACACGGGCAGCUCUAGUGGUGUUCGCGAAUAUUGGGCCUAAAGCGUGCGUAGCCUGUUAAACAAGUUUUUGGUGAAAGCCUGCGACUCAAUCGUGGGAAUUGCCAGGAAAACUGUUCGACUUGGGACCGGAAAGGGUCGGAGGUAUUCUGGGGGUAGGGGUAAAAUCCUGUAAUCCUUAGAGGACCAUCGGUGGCGAAGGCGUCCGACUGGGACGGGUCCGACGGUGAGGCACGAAAGCUAGGGGAGCGACCCGGAUUAGAUACCCGGUUAGUCCUAGCCGUAAAUGAUGCAAGUUUGGUAUUGCACUCCUUACGAGGGAUUGCAGUGCCGUAGGGAAGCCGUUAAACUUGCCGCCUGGGAGUACGGCCGCAAGGC
This 498-nucleotide ribosomal RNA is filed under the name uncultured archaeon. Its description in RNAcentral is "bacterial SSU rRNA". It matches the Rfam family "Archaeal small subunit ribosomal RNA", at positions 345 to 849 of the family's 1478-position model. The record is from RNAcentral.